RNAcentral lists this ribosomal RNA (207 nucleotides) under Triticum aestivum (bread wheat). RNAcentral's name for it is "partial small subunit ribosomal RNA". Lineage: Eukaryota; Viridiplantae; Streptophyta; Magnoliopsida; Poales; Poaceae. The record is from RNAcentral.
AUGACGGGCGGAGGGGAGGAGGCGGCGACGUGCUCGGUUUGCCUCGGCGCGCUGCAGCUAGGAGACACGGUGCGGCUGCUGCCGACGUGCCCGCACGUGUACCACGCGGAGUGCAUCGACCCGUGGCUAGGCGCGCGCUCGACGUGCCCGAUCUGCCGCUCGGACACGAACCCGGCCACGGGCGUUGGCCAGCUACCACCUGCUUAG